GCCUUCCUCAUCUACAGUGGGAGGUGGCAGAGCCACAGCGGUGUUGGUCUUCCUCAUCUACAGUGGGAGGUGGCAGAGCCACACCGGUGUUGGCCUUCCUCAUCUACAGUGGGAGGUGGCAGAGCCACAGCGGUGUUGGUCUUCCUCAUCUACAGUGGGAGGUGGCAGAGCCACAGCGGUGUUGGUCUUCCUCAUCUACAGUGGGAGGUGGCAGAGCCACAGCGGCGUUGGCCUUCCUCAUCUACAGUGGGAGGUGGCAGAGCCACACCGGUGUUGGCCUUCCUCAUCUACAGUGGGAGGUGGCAGAGCCACAGCGGUGUUGGUAUUCCUCAUCUAGAGUGGGAGGUGGCUGAGCCACAGCGGUGUUGGUAUUCCUCAUCUAGAGUGGGAGGUGGCUGAGCCACAGCGGUGUUGGUCUUCCUCAUCUACAGUGGGAGGUGGCAGAGCCACACCGGUGUUGGCCUUCCUCAUCUACAGUGGGAGGUGGCAGAGCCACACCGGUGUUGGUAUUCC
Molecule: long non-coding RNA, 513 nt
Organism: Oncorhynchus keta (chum salmon)
Lineage: Eukaryota; Metazoa; Chordata; Actinopteri; Salmoniformes; Salmonidae
Exons: 3
Source: RefSeq, a predicted model, not a curated record